This is a microRNA precursor of Pteropus vampyrus (large flying fox), 90 nucleotides long. Ensembl annotates it as microRNA 200a. Its record names the gene MIR200A. NCBI's taxonomy places the organism in Eukaryota, Metazoa, Chordata, Mammalia, Chiroptera, Pteropodidae. The record is from Ensembl.
CUGGGCCUCUGUGGGCAUCUUACCGGACAGUGCUGGAUUUCUCGGCUUGACUCUAACACUGUCUGGUAACGAUGUUCAAAGGUGACCCCC